Molecule: unclassified non-coding RNA, 240 nt
Filed under: Hevea brasiliensis (rubber tree)
Lineage: Eukaryota; Viridiplantae; Streptophyta; Magnoliopsida; Malpighiales; Euphorbiaceae
Source: RNAcentral
GUAUUUAUGUAAUUUAGGAUGAGUAGGAAAUUGUUUUAGUCAAACAAAAUAUAAAUAGAAAAAGCUGAAAUCAGAGGCAUGUGGGCGGGGAGGAACUAGUAAGGGCCCGCUGGGGUUCAUGAGUGACUAGAAAUCAACAAAAACUAGGAUAUGAUUAAUAAUAUAUCUAUGAGUAAAAGUGCCCUUGUAUACUGAUACAAACUAGAGGAACUACCUUACCUGCCAGACUAAGUUUUGGAU